Molecule: long non-coding RNA, 1105 nt
Organism: Panicum virgatum (switchgrass)
Lineage: Eukaryota; Viridiplantae; Streptophyta; Magnoliopsida; Poales; Poaceae
Exons: 2
Source: RefSeq, a predicted model, not a curated record
AGGUAGUGCAACGUAUCCUUGGUCUCCCUGCUGGAGAUAUAUUAAUGGAUGACAAAAACUGGAGCAAGGAGUACUACGAAUUUUGAAAGGUGCUGAAAGAUAAGGGAUAUGAUGUAGUGACUUGCGUUAAAUCUAAAGAGAGAAUGCAAGAAAACAAAAAAAUCUCUUUCGAUGUGUUAUUGAAGUACAUGAAAUCUGUCGAAAAUAAGCAACAGCAAGCCCAUGCUUUCUUCUGCAUUGUGCUAUGCAAGCUGCUCCUAACAACGGCGAGCAAUGUGCCCACUUUGCAGCACGUGGGGAUGUGCUCUUACAUUGAGAGCACGGAAAAGUAUAAUUGGUGCAGAUAUGUUUGUCAAGAUCUGAAAAAUAAAAUCACUACAUGGAAAAAUAGGGCAAAACCACCAUAAAAAAUACAAGGGUGCUUCUGCUGUUGGUAAGUGAGAAUCUUCAGAACAAUUUCUUUUACGAACAUGAUAAAAGUUGUGCUUUGACCGAACAUGAUAAAAGUUGUGCUUUGACCGAACAUGAUAAAAGUUGUGCUUUGACCGAUUGUGCUGCUUUACAGAUAUGUUUGCUUGAAACUCUUGAGCCGCAACCUGGGCUGGAAGAAACACCGGCUGGUCCACUCAUUGGACGCUAUGAUGACAAAAAAAUUGAAGACAUGGUAAAGAAUAUUAAGGAUACAAUGAAUGUCACACAAGAGGUAAGUGUGGCAUGCUUCUACUACAGUCAUUUUCUACUACAGAGUAUUAAAAAGAUAUUGUCUUUACAUUGGUGCCUUUCAGAUUGCCAAGCACAAGACCAAGCAGCACAAGGCCAAGCCUCAACCCCCAAAGUAAAUAAACUAGCUUCCGGAAAGCAAAAGGUUGCAGGAUAACAGAUAGUGAUUCAAAUUCCAUCUGUGGAAGAUUUGCUCAAGGAAAGUGAGGUUGAUAAGGGUGAGGAGGGUAUUCUUUUGAAAGAAAUAAACAGCAAAAUUGAGUCCGAUCAAACCAAGUUGAUGGAAGAAAUUAAAAAAAAUAAAGGACCUCCAGUUGCAAAAUAAUGAAGAUUUAAAGAAGAUUGUUGCGGAACAUUCUAUCUUGUCUAAGAUGUAUAAUGAGAU